UGACUCUCGACAAUGGAUAUCUCAGCUCUCGCAUCGAUGAAGAAUGUAGCGAAAUGCGAUACUUGGUGUGAAUCGCAGAAUCUCGUGAACCAUUGAGCCUUUGAAAGCAAGUUGCACCCGAAGCCCUCGUGACCAAGAGAUGUCUAUCUGGGCGUCACGCA
This 161-nucleotide ribosomal RNA is filed under the name Atraphaxis decipiens. Its description in RNAcentral is "5.8S ribosomal RNA". It matches the Rfam family "5.8S ribosomal RNA". From Rfam's summary of the family: 5.8S ribosomal RNA (5.8S rRNA) is a component of the large subunit of the eukaryotic ribosome. It is transcribed by RNA polymerase I as part of the 45S precursor that also contains 18S and 28S rRNA. The record is from RNAcentral. Lineage: Eukaryota; Viridiplantae; Streptophyta; Magnoliopsida; Caryophyllales; Polygonaceae.